Long non-coding RNA from Raphanus sativus (radish), 768 nucleotides. RefSeq lists it as uncharacterized. The record is from RefSeq and is a predicted model, not a curated record. The transcript has 3 exons. Lineage: Eukaryota; Viridiplantae; Streptophyta; Magnoliopsida; Brassicales; Brassicaceae.
AGCUUAACUAAGGGAAGGAAGAGGCGUUGUUUAAGGACACGCGUCACACAUUCAAGUCUCUCUCUCUCAUCUCAACCUCUCUCUCGCGGACGAAAUCACUCGGUUUCGAUUCCGAAACUUCGUGACUCCUCGACGGAUGAAUCUCUCCCUCGGUGGCUCUGGUCGGCCUGUUCUUCCUGUUUCGGAUCCUCCUCUCUCCGGAGAGAAUGAUACCUCCGACGGUAAAGGCGUCGAUGAUCAUCUUUUCAAAGGAUCUGCCAUGACCAAACACGGCGCUUACGCUGCUCUCUCUUGCAUGACUGAGCUGAUAAACGAGACGACGAGCGAUGAAGUGUUGGAAGUGGAGCAGAGUACAACGGUAUAAGGAAGCCUGUCUAUGACAAGCGUGGCGAUAUCAUCAAAGCGAUCCCUGAUUUCUGGCUCACUGCUUUCUUGAGCCACCCUGCUCUUGGCGCUCUUAAUUGGAAUUGGACGCAUGAAGCUGCUUCAUCAACAUAUCCUGUUGUUUCAACUCUCGUUGAAGGUGGAGCCACUUGCGUUGGCAAAACUGUUGUUGAUGCUUUUAGAUUUCUCUCUCUCUCUCUCUCUCUUUUCGAUUACCUAUAAUUCGCAUUUUGAGAAAAUGACCUGUAGUUUGGGAUUCCAGUGUGAAACCUUUUAUUUGUUAGCAGAGAAACAAGCGUGUGACGAUUGUGGUUCAAGCAUUUUGAUUCCUUACCUGUUACCACUCCUUUCAAGAUAUAUUAAUCAGAGCCUUUGUUUUAUGUA